Molecule: non-coding RNA, 95 nt
Organism: Hymenopellis radicata
Lineage: Eukaryota; Fungi; Basidiomycota; Agaricomycetes; Agaricales; Physalacriaceae
Source: the annotation of a GenBank genome assembly
GGGUCGAUGGCGUAGUUGGUUAUCGCAUCUGUCUAACAUUCAUGUGUCUUUGGAUAUUACACAGAAGGUCCUCAGUUCGAGCCUGGGUCGACUCA